UGAGGAAUCUUGCGCAAUGGGGGAAACCCUGACGCAGCAACGCCGCGUGAGUGAUGAAGGCCUUCGGGUCGUAAAGCUCUGUCUAGUGGGAAGAACCCGCUGUGUCCAAAUAGGGCAUGGCGCUGACGGUACCACUGAAGGAAGCACCGGCUAACUCCGUGCCAGCAGCCGCGGUAAUACGGAGGGUGCAAGCGUUAUUCGGAUUUAUUGGGCGUAAAGAGCACGUAGGCGGCCAUCUAAGUCAGAUGUGAAAGCCCGGAGCUCAACUCCGGAAGUGCAUUUGAUACUGGAUGGCUUGAGUAUGGGAGAGGGAAGUGGAAUUCCUGGUGUAGAGGUGAAAUUCGUAGAUAUCAGGAGGAACAUCGGUGGCGAAGGCGACUUCCUGGACCAAUACUGACGCUCAGGUGCGAAGGCGUGGGGAGCAAACA
Molecule: ribosomal RNA, 428 nt
Filed under: uncultured prokaryote
Description: bacterial SSU rRNA
Rfam family: Bacterial small subunit ribosomal RNA
Source: RNAcentral